RNAcentral lists this long non-coding RNA (951 nucleotides) under Cricetulus griseus (Chinese hamster). Its description in RNAcentral is "lncRNA (ENSCGRG00015036964.1)". The record is from RNAcentral. Lineage: Eukaryota; Metazoa; Chordata; Mammalia; Rodentia; Cricetidae.
GCCCAGUAGGCUGCUCAACACGUUGAAGGUCUUGAGGGUACAAAGUCAGGUCCUCCUCCUAGUGAGGCUGGUCCCACCCUCAGCUAGAAUGCAAACACUCCAGGUGGCGAAAACUUGGGGGUGGGGGGUGUCCCUGGAAAGAGACAGAACCUGCUCUGCCUACAGACUGCAAAGCCAAGAGGCUCUAGGCAAGUCGGGGGCUCUAGGCAAACAAAGAAAGGAAGCCACUUAGGCCAAGACAGACCAGGUCAAAUACUUGACCCAGCUGAACCGCCCAGAAAAGUCAGGUUUGAUCAGAGACCUGGAGAAAUGGAGGGAAGCAGGAAAGUGCAACCAGGCAGAAGCAUCAGGACUGUGAACCGUCAAGAGGUGGGUUGGUGCACAGUCGCGGAGUAAAAGUCAGUUGGGACAGGAGACACUAAGGAAAAGUGCCUUCUAGACAAAACGGGACUGAGAAACAUAUAAACUCGGAGAUAGUACCCUCAUGUGCAGGACCUUCAAGGUGUAAGGCAGACAAGAUUCCAGUACUGAGAGAGAACCUUCAUCCAGCAGCUGUUCGAAGCAGAAACAGGCACCCACAGCUAAGCACUGAACCAUACUCCUGGAAUCCAGUUGCCGAGAGGGAGGAGGGAUGACCAAAAGAGCAAAGACGGUGCUGGAGAGGCCUGAAGAAACAGUUGACCUGACCUAGUGAGAGCAUGGAGACCCUAGUCAUAAAGCUGGGGAAACAGCAUUGGACCAAACCAAGCCCUCUAAAUGUGGGUGCCAGCUACGAGGCCAAGACAGUCUAUGGGACCUCUAACAGUGGAGCCAGUCUUUAACCCUAGAGCACAAUGGACUUGGAGCCCAUUCCCUAUGGAGGGAUACUAUUGCAGCCCAGAUACAGCAAGGAGGGCCUAGGCCCUCCCCCAAAUGAUAUGCCAGACUUUGAAGGUCCCCUGUGGAUGAUCU